UUCUCCAGGGGAUCUUCCCAACCCAGGGAUCGAACCCAGGUCUCCCUCAUCGCAGGCCAACUCUUUAGCGUCUGAGCCACCAGGGAAGCCAAUGAUAGCUUAAUUUUAGUAAAAGCAAAAGUUUGGGCAGGUAGUGAACUGGUGUUGUGUCCUAAAAGAAUGAAUCUCUGAGAAAGACAAUUUCCCCACCAGCCAGAAAAUUACUUUGGUGCAAAGAAGUUCAAGUUAAAUCACACAGACAACCGCACUUAGUCUUGAAGUGGGAGUGGACAGGGAUUUAAACUCACAUCUCAGCCACACGCCAGCACCUGCAGUGGGUAGGACCCACCUUCCUGGGUAGCAGUACCCUCAUGGCACUUCCCCAGGACCUUUAACUUAUUAGAAAACCAGACUCAAAUUCCUGAAUUGUCAGUUGCCAUUGGCCCCCACGGGGUUGUGUGCCCAAGAGAAUAACUGCCAUUUAUUGAAAUCCUUUCACUUUUGAAGGUUUUACGUACCUUCUAAGGCCUUGUAGCUCGGAUGUGUACACCACAUGCUCAUUUUAUAAGUGAAGUGUUUGAGGCCCAGAGAGGUUUGGUUUGCUCAGAGUCACACAGCUAUCAUGUGGCAGAGCUAAGACUUGAACUCAAGCCAUCUUGGCGCCAAAGCCCAAGUGUUGGGCCUCAUAACCAAAUAACCUUUAUGGUUAUUGACAAAAGAGAAGCCGGAGCCCCUCUUUUCAAAAUUACUCCAUUUUACCAUCAGAUUUUAAAAUUUAAGGUACAAUCGGGAAUCCGUAUACCUAGCAGAAUUUUGGCCUGUGCCGAACGUUUGCCAAAAUCACGCACGUAGCGAGAGAGUAAAAAAAAGAAUCUUAGGGGCCAGAAAGGCCUUAGGGUCAGGGAGCCCCUGUCUGCAGCUGCAGAAACGGAGACGGGGAGGAGCGGGUGGUCGCUGCCCGCGGGCUGGCUCACCCAGGAGGGGGCAGUGAGCGAGCCGGCCAUGGGGCUGGCACUGGAGCGGGCGCUCGGCACCACGCGGACGCCGUACUUAUUAGACACCCCUUGUGUGCAGAGCAUUGUGCUGGGCUCCAUGGAGAAACACAAAAGGAUUAGGAGACCCUGCGCUGCCUUGACAGCACUCAGAAGCCACCACAGACUGCGGCCUGAUUCUCCUUUGAGGCCUGACGGAGACCUUUAGGCCGCUGUCGGGGGAAGGGCCACACUGCCGUCUCUCCCCUGACCCUCCUUUCAGGCAGGGUAGCUGUAACGAGCCAGGUGUCUGUGGGGACCUCUCCGGGGGCGGUGUUGUGGCGGCUCCUCAGAUUAAGGGAUCAAGGACGGAGGCCUCCAGGCCCUCCUGUUGCCAGGGCAACAGUGAGUCAGGCCGAGGCCUCUCCUCCGGCUUUCUGGAAAGCGUUUUCAGCUGCUGAAGCCUCUUACUGUUUUCGCCCGGCGUCGUGGGGACUUCUAGAUGUAGAUUUGCAAUCAGUUCUGCACUGACCACUUCUCGUUGGGUUCCUUGAAAUGGGUGUUUUUAGUUAAAACACCAACUAACCCUUCUAUUUCUGCUUUCUACCAAAGUCCCUCUUACAGAUAAAGUUCACAGAGGUGAAGCGAUUAGCCCCAGGUCAGUCAUGCGGUCAGAAUUUAAACGUCGAGUGGGUGCUGCUAAUGCUGUUGCAGCCCGCCUCCCGAUUUCUUCUUCGUGGAUCCUCAAUACAGAAGGCGAAACAGUCCUUUUUCUCGAAUUGCAGCUCUGACUCUCCCGUGGACACGGCAGACAGGCCAGGCCAGCCCAGCAACCUGGGGACAGCACGGGGCCCACCAAACACGAAGACAGAGAUGCUGAGCGCCAAGCCAGCCCCCCUCGUUCUGGACCAAGCUCCCCUCUUCUGUGGGGACUUUGGGAAGAGGCUUAACUGCUCAGGCGAGGGGCUCCCUUUCUGUGUGUGUCUCUAUGUUGGGACCUACGAAGCCAUUUGACAGUCAGAGAAGGAGUUGGGCGACGGAGAUGAGCACCAGGACCACGCAUCUGCUCCACAAUCAAACCGAAUUCCUGCCCUAACUCACUCGGUUCGGGCUUGGGCUACCUCUUGGGUCCACACCAUUCCUUACGC
Molecule: long non-coding RNA, 2098 nt
Organism: Bubalus bubalis (water buffalo)
Lineage: Eukaryota; Metazoa; Chordata; Mammalia; Artiodactyla; Bovidae
Exons: 2
Source: RefSeq, a predicted model, not a curated record